This 253-nucleotide ribosomal RNA is filed under the name uncultured bacterium. Its description in RNAcentral is "partial 16S ribosomal RNA". It matches the Rfam family "Bacterial small subunit ribosomal RNA", at positions 524 to 776 of the family's 1533-position model. The record is from RNAcentral.
UACGUAGGGUGCGAGCGUUGUCCGGAAUUAUUGGGCGUAAAGGGCUCGUAGGCGGUUUGUCGCGUCGGGAGUGAAAACACCGGGCUUAACUCGGUGCUUGCUUCCGAUACGGGCAGACUAGAGGUAUGCAGGGGAGAACGGAAUUCCUGGUGUAGCGGUGAAAUGCGCAGAUAUCAGGAGGAACACCGGUGGCGAAGGCGGGUCUCUGGGCCGAUACUGACGCUGAGGAGCGAAAGCGUGGGGAGCGAACAGG